RNAcentral lists this ribosomal RNA (565 nucleotides) under Dujonia zeylanoides. Its description in RNAcentral is "[Candida] zeylanoides partial large subunit ribosomal RNA". It matches the Rfam family "Eukaryotic large subunit ribosomal RNA", at positions 38 to 608 of the family's 3401-position model. Lineage: Eukaryota; Fungi; Ascomycota; Pichiomycetes; Serinales; Debaryomycetaceae. The record is from RNAcentral.
GCAUAUCAAUAAGCGGAGGAAAAGAAACCAACAGGGAUUGCCUCAGUAACGGCGAGUGAAGCGGCAAAAGCUCAAAUUUGAAAUCUAGCACUUUCAGUGUUCGAGUUGUAAUUUGAAGAAGGUAACUUUGGUUUUGGCUCUUGUCUAUGUUCCUUGGAACAGGACGUCACAGAGGGUGAGAAUCCCGUGCGAUGAGAUGCCCAAUUCCAUGUAAAGUGCUUUCGAAGAGUCGAGUUGUUUGGGAAUGCAGCUCUAAGUGGGUGGUAAAUUCCAUCUAAAGCUAAAUAUUGGCGAGAGACCGAUAGCGAACAAGUACAGUGAUGGAAAGAUGAAAAGAACUUUGAAAAGAGAGUGAAAAAGUACGUGAAAUUGUUGAAAGGGAAGGGCUUGAGAUCAGACUUGGUAUUUUGCGUUCCCUUCCUUUUUGGUUGGGUUCCUCGCAGUUUACUGGGCCAGCAUCGGUUUGGAUGGUAGGAUAAUGACAUUGGAAUGUAGCUUUACUUCGGUGAAGUGUUAUAGACUUUGUUGAUACUGCCUAUCUAGACCGAGGACUGCGUCUUGACUA